CUGCCCUAUGAGGAUUUAAAUGGCCGCGGUAUUUUGACCGUGCAAAGGUAGCAUAAUCAUUAGUUUUUUAAUUGAAAGCUGGUAUGAAAGGUUGGAUGAGAAAAUUACUGUCUCUAUUUAAUUUAUUUAGAAUUUUAUUUUUAAGUAAGAAAGCUUAAAUAUAGAUAGAAGACGAGAAGACCCUAUAGAGUUUUAUAGAUUUUAAUUUAAGAAGUUUUUAGAAUUAAUAAAUUUUUAAAUUAAUGUGUAUUUAGUUGGGGUGAUUGAAAAAUUAAAAAAACUUUUUUUAUUUUGGUAACCAUUUAUUUAUGAUUAAAUGAUCCUUAUUUAAAGAUUAAAAGAAAAAAUUACCUUAGGGAUAACAGCGUAAUUUUUUUAAAGAGUUCAAAUC
Molecule: ribosomal RNA, 391 nt
Filed under: Gymnopholus sp. 4 MVD-2017
Lineage: Eukaryota; Metazoa; Arthropoda; Insecta; Coleoptera; Curculionidae
Description: partial 16S ribosomal RNA
Source: RNAcentral